Molecule: long non-coding RNA, 39833 nt
Filed under: Musa acuminata (dwarf banana)
Lineage: Eukaryota; Viridiplantae; Streptophyta; Magnoliopsida; Zingiberales; Musaceae
Description: long non-coding RNA (MACU_LNC008776)
Source: RNAcentral
CAAAGCAGCUUUCUAAUCAGCUGUGUCAAGCGAGCGUCUCGUCUAUACGAGGGUUUCCUUGUUUAGAUUUCCUGGAGAAAAAGCCGAUGCAAACGACCGUAAUGAUCCCUACGAGGUUAGCAGCAGUAUAUAGGAGCCUUUAGGUCCAGGCGAGUUCCGCAGUUGCCCUGUCUAUGUAAACCCUUCUUCAGAGCCUGCACCCCCAUCUACUCAAAGGAAAGAAAAGCAGUUAUAUAAGUCAAGUCAGUAAGAUAAGGAAAGCGCGCAGCCUUCCGCCUCUAAGUCUACACCCUUUAUACCUUCCUUAGGUUUCCGUUUUCGUUUCAGUGUGGGGCGAGUUUCUUUCGAUGCAGUUCUAGGAUUACUCUAAUCGGCAGCUUUGGAAUAAUACGCUUCACCCAUAUAUUGGAAUAAUACGCUUCACCUAUAUAGAAUGGAGGGACUAUGCUUUCUGCCCCUAUGGAAUAUGCUUGAUUCUCUUACCCUAUCUAACUUCUUCUUAAUAGUUGGAAUAAGGUGAGUGCUGGCCCAGUCUUCUCUAAUCUCCUUAUCGAGCUACCGAUCUUACAGCGCUUUAUUGACUAUAAUCCCUUCGAUCUCAAGGCUAGGUAAAUUAUUAAGGUUCAUUUUCAAGCAGAAGUAUGGAAAUGGGGCAAGCAAAUAAGCAAGCGGUGGGAUCUUUCAGACAAGGUAAAGGUCUAGAGCAGGCCAGAAGGCGGGACUAUUUCUUUUUCUUUCCUCAAAGGAGAAAGGGCUAGAUUCAUUUGAAGCCGGUUCACAGGUCCAUCCAAUUUCCUUAAAAGCUAGUCAGUGAGAAAGGGAAUAAACAUGGUGAAGCGAAGAGGGUUAGAAUGAAUACUAUACUUCUCCUAGGCGGGUUUCAUGAUGGAUGACUCCGGGGCUUAGAUUGCUCACAGGAUCAAAGCACUUUCUUGAUCACUGUCUUGCUCACUUAACCUUAUUUCUAACACUUACACAAAGGCUUGACAAGGUAUGGAAGAGAUAGAGGAGAGAAAACGGAACUAAGGGAUAUAGAAUGACAGGCAGUAGAAUGACAGGCGGAACGAAUCCAAGGGCUAGUCUCAAACUCUGAUAAGCCCAGGUGAGAAACUCCCUCUUACUACUGUAUGUUCAUAAAUCCUAGGCAAAAGCCCCUGUCUCUGUAACAACCAAUAGUCAAUUGAGCCACGGGAAUAAGCUUGAGUACGGAACUUAGAGCUACGAGAAUAAGCUUGAGUAAAGCUGUACUGUGAACUUAGCUACGGGAAUAAGCUUGAGUAAAGCUGUACUAAACUUAGCUACGGGCUUCUCCCUUACUUCUUCUUAUAUGGGAGCUUGCAUUGAUGCCAUCUUUAUUAGCGCCGGAUCUCUGGGCCGUAAUACUUUGAUAAUAGCCCUUCUUCCUUGCUUUCAACUAAGAUAAUAGCCCUUCUUCCUUGCUUUCAAAAAGGGGGAAGUUCUCUGCGCGUUCAUUCUCUUUCAUGUCGGAAAUCCUCUUUGAUUCUAAAGAUAGACAUUUCCAUAAAAGGCAUUUCGUCAGUCAUAUGAUUGUGAAACUUCUAAAAUAGGAGCUUAUUUGAGAACAGCUGAUUAUAAUGUCAAAAGGAACCUCCUUUUCUGAAAACAAACCGGGCAUACCUCUAAACUUACCUUCCCGCUUCAUCUCUUGAUUCUUAUCCAGCUGUAGAUCUCGUUGUUGCCAAGACAGAUGAAACUCAUUCACUUGCGCCAACAAAGCUAGAUGAACCUUCCACUUAUUAUUCUAUCGAUAAAGCUUCUUCUCGAGCUACUGGGCUACAAACUGCGCAUUCAGAGACUUAAACACUGACACUUAUACUUUACUGGGACUUUUCAUUCUCUAACCACUGCAUCGGUUCUCUGCUUUACUGACUUUUAGUCUGACUUGACUUUCUCUUGGCCUGGUCUGCCGCUUCCCGAUUCGGAUUCUAUUUUUAGGGGUACCUGGCUCAUAACUGAACUAACCAGUAUAAGUAUGAGAAUGAAGAGCUGACCCUCCACGCCUAUGUUCACCUUUCGCUCUGCCUAUCCUGUCUUAAAGCCUAUCGUUCCUGUCUCUCGUUCUGCUACCACGUCUAUGAAGCCUAUCUCUACUAGCUAUGAAACGAAAACUCUAGUUUCUCACUCCUUAGAGCUACAGCUUUGGAUCCACCAAACAACUACGAUGAAAAGAAAUUCAAAGAAAAGGGAAUUAACUAACCAAUAAGGGGAAUGGAGUGACUGACUAUAAGAGUAAAACAAAGAAAUAGGACUUAUCCUACCGGGCUGACUAUCCAUACUUGGAUUCUGGAAUUACAAAUAAGGGUCCUCGCUCUACAGCCUAAGAACCUUGCUCCACUGGCUUUGAUUCUUCUACUAAUACUCAGGUCUAUGAGCCUUGCUUUACUGCUUUGAAACCUAUAUCUCUUUGCUUGAAACCCACCUCUCCGCCUACCUCAUCCGUAUAUCUCUUCUAGCUAUCAAACAACUAACCCUUACUUUGAGUCUGAAUUACCUGUCAAAGAUUCAUAUUCCUCUAUUCCUAACUCCCUCCUAAGGAAGGGCAACGGGAUCCAACCCAAAAGUCAGAGAAUGGAACCAUCACGGGAAAGAAUAGAACCCGGGCGCCUAAGUCUCCCCCUCCUUGGUUGAAACCUAAGACUUAUUACUUUUCUUAUUUCACUCUGGUGAUCCAUUAUUUCACUGGUGAUCCGGGUCUUGGCCUUAUUGGCUGUAAGGCGGACUUGACUACCUUUGUUUUCAUUCUACUACUCUAUACUUGAGAACUUGCUUCCACAGAUAAGUAUACCGAUCCCCUAGAGCAAAGCCUGUCCGGACUCUAUCCUAAACUUAUACUGCUACCAAUAAGACUUGAGCUAAGAAGUGGGAAUCCGACCCAUCAGUCUGGGAAUUGAAACUCCUAAGUAGAAUCAAACUCAUAAGAAUAAUAAUUAGGGUACGCAUCUAGGAUAAGAGGAAGAGAAAAAACUCAGACUGAAGAGAAUCAAACUAAGCAGUAUAAGCAUCAAACUGGUAGAGCCUUGCACCCGAGAGCCCACACUCUUUCUCUUGAACCAGAUCCUUCCCUUGCUUUACUGACAUCAAAGCUGCCCUGACUUUCUUGGCCUGUCAUACUUGGGGGUAUUGAUCGAUACUCACUUGCCCCGGGCUAGCUCUGAAACUACCAACCAUUAGACUUUGACUGCAGUUUCUAAUACUUAAUUAACUUGCCGGAAAGAGUGGAGCUGCUGACAAACAGACUCGAACUACGGAUUCGGAUACUGACUUGCCACGAGCUAACUCCUCCGCGACUAACUAGUAGAAUGGAACCUUGAGCCAAUAUGACUUGAGCUACUGGAAAACAGGCUUACUUUACUGCAAUCAAUACCCUAACUAACAACGGGGAAUGCUGCUAUUACUAUCGGAAUUGAACCCAUGCUAGAAAGGGCCAAGUAGGCAAGGAAGCUCUUGUUCUUUUCCGUAGUCAACUAAUUACAUUCCAUUCCAGGAGUUCUAUUCCCCCAGCUUCCUCACCUCAUAGCUCAAUUCUUAUGAGUCAUAACCUUACUUGAUCACUGGAACAGGGCAUAGCAGCUUUCACACACUCCCCGCUCGGACCUUAUCCAAUCCUAGCUACCAAUCGCCCCUGCCGCUGAGAUUAGGACUUGCUCAUAAUGCAUUAGAACCAUUUAUGACUUGUUAUGUGUUUGGGGCAUCCACUUACGAAUUAACUCGGGAAAACAUAAUUGGUUAAAGCCUUAUUGCCUCCUGGCUAGCUACCUCUGGCAACUAGAAUACCUGGCUCAUUACAGCUGCUGGGAACUAACAUACCUGGCUCAUUCUUCUGGUUCAAACUAUGUUGCUUGGCCCUUUCCGCUUCUCCUAUUUCGGAGUAUAUCGGUAAAGAUCCUCCUCUAAUACGAAUGUGUAAUCGCUGUAUCUUAUGGAGAGGGAAAGAUUGAGCUGUAUCUUAGAAUAGAACAACCAACCAGAACAGCACCGGAAGGGCCAUCUCCCUAGCAACUAUUGAAAGGCCUUCAGAACAUCCUCAUCAUAACACUUUCCGUUAUUUAAUAAGGUACCGAAGCAUUUAUUUGGUAGAAGGAAGCUUCGAUAAAGAUUAUGUAUUUCGCUUUAGCAGCUAGGAGUUGUUUUCGAAACCAAGCCAUACCCUACCUAUCCAUGAAAGAAAGACUACAUAGACUAAUGGGCAGCUUCGAAAGCAUCAACUACUGGAAAGAUUGCAACGAGGUAAACUAAACUAACGGAAAGGGUACAUGCCUCUUACUAGAAAAUCCAGUCAAGGCUCCGGGGAUAGUCCGAUACCUCAACAAAAUGGGAAUGAUUAAUGGAAAGUAACGUGGGAAGACUUGGAUUUCUUAACUCAAAAAGGCAAAGGAAUUCCUCCACUAAUCGAUACGGAAAUGCUUCCACACCCACAAUCGAUACAAUACUGACAAGACUCAAAAGAGAUAAGGAGUCAACUGCUGCCCUUAUUUAUAGGCUUAAAGGAAGGCUGGAAGCUACGCUCCGCGGUGUAGGCUUCAUAACUGUUGCAGCGGCUUAUGAUUGGAAUAGGAUCUUUGAGCGAGCAACGUCCGAUUCUCCAGAAAAGACGGACUGCCACGAAGGCACUUACAAGAAGAAAGAGGCCUUAGAUCGCCCCUGCACCAUCAAUUAUGAGGAACCGCCCAUCAAUCAAGGAAGAAAUCCAGAAAGAAGUAAGCUUACGGGGCUAGUACUUUUUCUAAGUCGCCUAGUAAAGGAUAAAGGCAAUUCGCCUUAACAAAAGCAAUAAAGGGGAAGAGUCAAACAAAGGAAGUCCCAUUCCCUCCUUCUUCUUGCUAAUCGAUGAUAGAUAGGAGAUCAGGUUAGCCCUACCUUUUUGGAUCCCUAACCCUAAUCCAGUCUCUUAGUAGUAGGCCGGGAAAGUCAAGAAGUAGGCAUCGUACCAAUGGGAUUGAGACUGCGCUCUUUACCUUUCUCGGUUCGGGUGCAUGCACAUAUACGCUCUCUCAAAGCAUUUCUUUCUUCCUAUAGAAACACAAGUAGCAGAAAUCUCCCUAUGGUUUUAUGGAAUUCCAGAAAGCACUUUGCAACCCUCGAUCCAUUACUAAAAACCAUAUAUUACUAAAAACCAUAUACUAACCUUAUUCCAAUCAAAAGUGAUUCUUUUGUGAAACUCGUUGGCUCUUUUCGUAUAAGUUUCGAAAAAGAAGUUCUCCUAUUCGCUGCCGGAUUGAAAUGGGGAAGGGCCCAUGCUUUGAUUUUUCGAUGAGAAAUCCAUUCCAUUCUCUGCAUACUGCAAUAGAUUCCUUCCUGAAAGCUUUGGUAAGUGGAUGUAUAAUGAAUUCAUUCCUGUUUCCUUCAAGAGCAAUCAUAAGACUCUUCAUAUCAUGGCCUUUAGGAAAAGAGUCCGUCCCCGAUCUCAUUUGUGGAUAAAAGAAUAGACCCUCGUCAUUAGGGCUAGAGUUCAGUAAAGCUAUGCUCAUCUUUAUUCCGGCUCAUAUGUUGAAGCGUAGACAAGUCUUUCUCAAGGCUUAAACAUACUUGCUUGCUUGUCGCGAAGUCUGUUGGUUCUACGCCAGAAACCCAUUUGGAUUUCUUUGCAUACACUCGAUCAGUAGGCCCGCACCGUGGCGUGGUCUAUGUCUACUAAUCCAAAUUACCCCUUGAGUCUCGCCAUUUGCUUUUAUAUAGGAAGGUAUCCAAGACCUAGUACAAGCUAUCCAUCCUAUUUCAAUAAAUUGACAACAUCCUGGGAUGGAUUAGUUUUGACCCUUGCUCGUAUUCACCGUUUCAAACAACUGAGCAAGAGGGAUGUCGGCGGGGACCGCCCUUCUUUUUCCGCCUUACCCACCAUGUUCACUAUUACAUCGGAUACAUCGGAAACCUUCCAAUCAGAAGAAAAACUUCCUCUUUGGCUUUGAAGCUACAGCUACCACUUGGAAUCAAAAGCGGAAACAACGCGACGUUGCUAUUAGCUUAUUUAUUGACUUCACUUGAGGCAUAGGCGGGAUAGGGCUUUGCUUUAGCAUAGGGCUCACAAAUGCGACUGGUUCAGGUCAACUAUGAUGGUGGAUACAGGUAAAUGUGCAAAUUGCUAGGCACUAGGUAUACCCUAUGACAUUUCAUUGGCUUUUGAUAUGCAUAGCUAUCUCUCGUUGUGAGUCUCGGUCGGCUUCAGGCUCUCUCUCUUUUCUACUUUGACUCCCAGCCGUGUUCCAGGCGCCUGGAUUCCUCCGUCAGGUAGGCUUUCCGCAUUCUUCAAUAUUGCGAGGGUCUUCCCUAGUUUCCUUCGAUUUAUAAGCUUGGUCUUUGUCAUAACGGAAUCUCGGGUCUGGAGAACGAGGCAGACAACGACCUGAAAGAAAAUAGUAUCCAAUUCAAAAGAUGAUCUUGUAGGCAAGGAUACAGAUCCAAAUCCCUGUGGGGCAGAUUGAUUCUGGAAAUAUAUUGAACCAGCACAAGGUAUACAAUUCAUAACUAACACACACUAAAUAAUGUAUAUUCUACCCCCUGGCAAUUAAUGGAAUUGACUGGCCCCCCACUGGACAAGUAAAGGAGGGACAUUUGACUCCCUAGGCGUCGAAGACAUCUCAGUAAAGUACGAAUUAGCGGGGCCAAGCCUCAUCACUCAAACGAAACUAUUGGAGAAUGGAGUUACGGCCGGUGUCCAAUGCAGGGAACCAUUCCUAGCCCGGUAGAGGCAGGGCUUUCAUAGCGUUGUUCGACCGACCACGAAAGCAAGAGUCAAGAGUCGGCAAAAGUUCACCACAGAAAACAUAGUUCAAAUAGCAAGCAAACCAGAGAAAGCAUUUGAGAGUUAUUGCCUCUAUGAAAGUGAAGAAGAAAUGCACUCGAUUCCUAUUCUUUUGAAACCUCAGCUCGGGUCACGGAACUCUCUGCUCUUGGCUACGAAACUAGGCUUUGAUCUGAAUCGAUAAAGAAAUGGUUUAAUGGGUUAGUCAAUGUCGGCCUAUGCAAUGGUACACGAGUACCGAUAGUUCGAAAGACAGAACUCUUUUAUCUAAACAUAUAUAAGCGGCCUCCCUCUUAUAUACGAUACCACAGCUGCCGCUUCCUUUGCAAUUGGGGUGGGGAUCCUUGGAAGAUUGAUUCCACCAUACCAGAAAACGAAACUGCUUCCACUUGAGCCAUUCUACUUUGAACAGAAACCAUUCGUUCAGAGUCGAGAAGAGUUAUCAUCUUAUCUGUAAGAAACAGCAGGAGAUAAGAAAGAGAACAAACAGGAUUCUUUCCAAGUUCAAAGAGACAGAUCACUCCUAGCUUGGGCCGACAAGACAUCCAAUCCAAAGAAAUCGAGAGAGACUAAUUGAAACUUUAUUGAACUCAAAGAAGAAAGAAAGAAAGACCCUAGCUAGAUGACCAAAGAAAUCCCAUGAAAUCGACUCCUAAUGCCCAACCCACCAAGACCGCUUAUGUAAACCUAAACUAAGUAAAGGCUUUUGAUUGAAGAAAUGCCUUAGCUAAUAAAGAAGGGGGAGGCAUCUUGAUUCGGCUUAUUCCACUGCUGCCGGCAAUCUUAGAAUGAAUGGGAUCCUUCCGCUUCCGUUCCUUAGCGACGUAACCCGAUCUCCAGACGACUGUAAGAUCCGCUAUCGCUUCGCCUGCUCUAUUUCUCAUCGUAUUCUUUAGAGUAUUAAGUAUUGCUUGCCUUCCCUUACUUCUUAUCUUAGUAAUCCAAAUAAGGGGUCGGAUAGUCGGUUGCUGCCUUACCGUUGUUAGGUUCGAAUCGGGUAGCUGAGCUCUCUUCUGAUUAUAUGAAGUCAGUAGCGGGUUUAUAUAAUUGCUUAACUGUGUGUGUAAUGUCGACGCCCUAAUACCCCAAAAGAAGAAACAGGUCAAUGCAAUGGGAUAGGAAGAAAGGGAGCGAAGUGACUACUGCAUAAACAGCCUAUUGGACAAGACAAGGAAGAAGGAUCAGGGGGAUUCCAAAUGCAAAGCCAAACGCCGCCCGAUGCCGGUGAGUCAGGUAGGGUCGAGUAAAUUCAUUCAACAAUUCCAUGAGCGGGAGCGGACCUUUCUUUAAGGGAAGGCUAAUAUCUAGGCUAAUAUUAUUGAACCUGAACCCUAUAGCAAUCAACGCACCUUUGGUUUUGUCAACACUGAGAAGCGAAGAGAAGUUUGGCACAGAAAAAGCCAUGCUCUGCUAAAGGGAAUCGGUGGGGCAUUGCUUUCUUUAACUAGUUCACUAUAAAUCAGAUAGAAUAGAAGGCUAAACAACUUCCUAAAAAGGGCUCCUUCGGGCGGGCAUUAACACGGAUCUAACGACUAUUGGCCGAUCUCAUUCUCAUGCACGUGGAUAUCUUUACCUAUGGAUCUUCCCUUUCCUUUAGGACAGCCAGAAGGGCGGAGCUCUAUGUUCUAUUGAAAGCAAGCUGUCCUAUCUGUCUAUUAGUUAAAGCUGUGAUGUGGCAUUUCUUCAACAGCAACUUCACAUGCACAAACGGACCACUCAGCACUUCUAGGAGUCACCCCUUUGCUUUAGUGUACCGUCGGAUUGUGAAGGUGUUUAGUAAUCGGAUGCUCUCGAGGAAGAUGAAUUAGAUGAGCAUAAUUUCUCUCAGUAACUGCUUGGGGGCAAAGUGUUUUUUUGUGGCUUUCAUGAAGAUGAGACAAAGCUUGCUGUAUAUAUAUUCCAUUCACUCUUUGAGAUGUGAGGUGCCGGAGUAACCUUGUAAGAUAAGGAUAUUGAUAUAGGCCGAGAGAAGAAGAUCAGAUGGUUCAGCUAUCUCUUCUCCCUAUCCCUAUGAUAGUUGACUAUGCGAAGCUAGUAAUACAGUUCCAUUCGGGGCCAACCACCUGUCUUUGGCCGACUCACUCCGGGAUAGAACACAUUUGAAACCAGUGUCUCUGAAACGAUUUGGAUUGACAAAAAAGGACAUGUCCUGCCGACGAAAGAAAAAGAUGUGAGAAGGGCCCUUACUGUCCAUGUUUAUAAAAAGCAUUCGUAUUUUAGUUGUAGGAUCUUUUACUGCCUUGUGAAAUCCUCUAUUCAUGAGGAAGAAAGAGGUAUAUUUCAGAAAGUAGACUAUAUCCAUCCUAGGGGCUGUCACUCAUUCAUUCCUUAUCGAAUCCAUAAUAUCACUUAUAUAAAGCUUGAAGCAAGUGGCAAUGUAUUGAAGUUAAGGUUCUUUAAAAGAGAGAGUGGUUCAGGCGUGCUUAAGGCAUAGGCGAUCUUCAUCAACCCGACGUAAUGUACUCACUAAUUUCAUGAAAAAGAUCGGUCGUUCUAAAUGUAAGCUUAUUUUCGAAAAGUGAAAGGGCAUUCCUUGAGAGAAAGUCCCCCAUCCACUUCUUGAACAAGCCCAUAUAACGAGCCUAGCUGUAGCAGCCCUUAUUGCGACAGAGAGAGAAAACAACAAACAAGGAAAUAAGAAAUGACUGGCCAAUCUCGUGCCCUGUAAGAAGGAAGGCUCUCAGUCCCAGGUAAAGAUCUUUUCAGGCUUGAGGAAUCCGGAAAGUCAGGUUAUCAAUCAGCAUGCUAUUUGAAAGUAAGUCCCUCGUUUAAAUAAAGUGGAGAUUGUAAGGCUACCCUAAGAUACCCACCCACCGAAACCGAAGCGGAUCUUGGGCCCUCGGGGGAAGGGGUAGGCUAUUCACAUUAGUCAAGCACUUAUAGCAUUAAGCACUUAUAGCAUUAAGUGUAUAAUGGAAUAUAUGUAUAAGAUAAGAGAGACAGAUUUCAAGGGAAGGAAAGGAGUUUUGGAUUGCUCGCAGCUAGCAGCUGACGCUGCCCUUGCUUUUUAUUGCUCACAGGAUAGAUUCCAUUGGCCUGUGCCUCACUCGAGGGAUUCCAUUUGAUGCUUUCAAUGGACGAAAGAGAAACCCCUAAAUCACCCUAUAGUAAAUAUAUCUAAAGAACCGGCCCGGCACACCUAAGAUUCCGGAGUCAAUAGCUUAUAACAUAUCCCUUCUUUCAAGAGUGCCUGUGGAAGUUGUCGUUGCUUUUUAGCAUCCAGUGAGGAAGGAAGUGGAAUACUUGCAAGUGUGAAGGCUAUUCAAAUAGACAAGCUUUAUCUCCUAUUCGAUAGCUCUCGGAGUAUCUCGCAAGCUAUCCGAAAAAAGAGAAAAAGCAGCUAAUCUUUCAAAGGAUAGAAAGUCAUUGUAGCUAAUCUUUCAAAGGAUAGAAAGUCAUUGUCGGAUGUCUUUGAAGAAAGCACAGCCCUUGGAAUCCAUCUGAGGAAGCUCUUGUCUUGCUGCGGAAAAUGACCUAGUGCUUAGCUAGUGGUUAGGCAGUAGAGUUGGCCGGGCAAAGCAACUACUAUUAGUUUCAGUUUCAAGAUAAGGAGAAAGAGAAUCCGAUAGAUCAGAGGUUGUGUGAGCUCCCGACGAAUAAAGAACUUUGGAAGUAUAUUGACAAGCUUAUAUAACAAGUGCUAAACCAAGGCUAUGGCAACUCAUAAGGUUAUUGCUCAGCCAAGUAACGACUAGACAAAGACACUCUAGACAAAGAAUGCAACUCAAACAUUGGAAUUAGUGGUAGGGGUGUAAUAGAAGAUGUCACUAGCCUCUCCAUGGGUUCUAAAGUCGGAAAGUGAGAAUUCCAUUCAUAAGUCUGAGUUUACCCCCCUCUCGCCAACACUACGUUGCUUGUCUAUCCGCUUGUUGGUGUCUUAAUAGGGAUAGGGGAUUUUUCUGUUAGCAUAGUGAAACCUCUGUUCCAAUGUGUUUUUUCUUGAUAACAUAGCCCAGCAGAGAGAGUAGUCGACUUUCCGCGGGCAGCUGCAUAAACAUUAUUUCCGGAUACUCCUGCCUUUCGCCUCGCACUAGGAUGAAACAAAAACUCUACUUUUAGAACAGUUGACUUGCGCCUUAAUCGAUUAACAGCUGGUUCUCAAACUGCGGAUUCUUUCUAUGACAAAUAAGGUAAAGCCAAUCAAUCACCUCUAUCUUAGACACAGUGAUGAAGUGAAGAAGCACAAACAAACUAUAAGGCAAAGGCAAGAAGGAAGAAGGCGGAUUUCCAAGUCAAAGCAAUCUGAAUCAGACAAUUAUCAUCGACAAACAGAUUCCACUAGGGAUGAAACUGGGCCAAGCAAUUAGGCAAGGAGCUUGUCUAUAAGUGCAAGCUACGUAUAAUAUGGUUAGUUACGCCAUCUAGUGAAACCAUCUUCUAUAUCCAUAAUACUAGUAUAGUCGUUUGGUUACUCAUCCCGGCGCUUGGUCAUUAGUAGUUGUUGGGUUACAGACCUGAGCCUAGUAAUGGUCCCUGGCUUUCUCCUUUGCAUUCAAAACAACAACUCCACCAGUAGCUUGUUCCGAGUCAACCACUCCCUUACAAGCAAGUAGACCAGUCAUUUCACUUGCUUGCUAUGAAGCAUAAGAUCAGAGAACUCCUCACGCGUAACCAAGCAAACUAGCAACGGAAGAAGAUAAUACCAACCGUAGCUACGACUUCUGGAACUCUACUUGAACAGAUGCAACUCUUUCUUCUCAAGUGGAGGAAGGCAGAAUGAACUCUUCCUUAUCUCGAGUCUAAAACAGAUGAAACUGUAAGCAGCAGCUGAUGAUCAAUAGGAAUAAGUUGCAUCUUUUUGUGGAACAAAUCAUUCUUAACCGGAAACAGCUACUCUACGCGUGCUUUCCUCUUCUGCAAUCACUCCACUUUCCUUUCGAACGGAUUCCUAAUACUCAACAAGUGACAGAACAAAUAGACUUUACUGCAGCAUUCCAUUUCAAAUUGACUCUAUCUCUUCUCUUACCCGCGCAUUCCAAAAUGGAUUCCUCUUAUUAAGACGAUUCAAGUAGAACAGUCCAUUCUCUAAGUAGUGAAGUCAGUCCUAUUGUAUUUCUCCCUAUGUUUCUCCCCUUUUGAUUAAGUAAGAAAAUCCGCAUAUAUCUCCAGUCCUAGCGUAAGGGAGUGCCCUUAUUUUCUGGUAAGCUGCCAUUGUGUGCUGCGUAUUUGGUUUCUCUCUAGUUCCUGUGGGAGCUACCUGUCAUCGAGUGCUAGUUCCGAGUCAUGCACUUCUUUUGAGUUAGAUAUCCCCAUUUCUAUCAAAAAGGAAAGCACUAUCCUAACCUAGAAUAUGAUAUUCUAUAUUGCAAGUAAAUAAAAGGAAAUAAUACAACAACUAGACAUUUCUAUUGGAAAAGAGCAUAUUCUAAGAAUCCUCCAAACCACCUUAAGGCCGCUCACAUUCCAUUCCUUCUAGGCGUGGUGUAAGGACGGGGGUACCCUCGAUUUAAGCCUGUUUCCGUGCCCAAUUAGAUCAUAUUUCCGAUUUCCAGGCAAUAGUUUCUAGUUAUAGCUAAGUGCUUCCAGCGCGAUCCACAGCCUAGGGAAUAAGCCCCGAGGUCAUCUUUAGAGGUCCCUCUUGAUUAUUGCCUUUGCUUAUCCAAGUAAUCCAGCCGAGCCAGUGUGAGCGCCUCCUCAGGAAGUUUCAGAAUAUGUCUUAUCGAGGACCGGUCCUAAGCAGGUAUGAAUACAUCUUUCCUUUGUUGUAGGGCCGGCUUGAAUAUGGCUCCGUACUAUACUCUCUAUAUAGCGUGUAUAAGGCCCGCUUGUCUAAGGCCAGCAUAUAUAGCCUUUAGUUCUCGGCUGGAAGUUCUCUAUUACUGUAGUUUUUUGAGUUUGAAAGCCUUUCGCACAAGCAAGUGGUGAUAACAAACCCUAAAUGCGAAAAAGGGCUUACCAAAAUAGAAGUAUGGCAUAGGCAUACUUUCUUUUAUACAGUCGAGCAUAAGUUUGCUGUCCAGUUAUUAAGCAUUAUCCGAGUUUAGGAAGUACUACAUAAAGCUCUCCUCUGCCUGAGUUAAGGAAGUACUACUACUACAUAAAGCUCUCCUCUGCAGGCCAAAAGCCGUUUGAUUUCUAUCAGAUCAGGUCCUUACCUUGCCCUUCCAGUUUCCGUGGCAGUUGUUAGCCAAUGUUCAAUCCUCAGUAUGUACGUCCAUGGAAUUUCAAAGGAGGCUCACUAUCCAAAAGGCUAUUAGGGCAACUAUUUCUCCCCAAAAUACAAUAUCUUCCCGCUUUCCCGUCACGCUAUAUAUUCCUUUGCAUUGUAUAUCACGAGUGUUAGUUUCCACUAGCUUAGGAUGGUUUCUUAUGCUAUAAAGAUGGAGAUAGAUUGAUUGAGGAGAUUCAAAGGGAGAAACUGCUUAUAUUCCUCAAAUCUUAUAUAGAGAGAACAAAGAGCAUAUAUUCCGAUAGUAGGUGUACCGUGAGUGGAAGGGCUAUAAUUCUUCAAUAACCCCGAGCUCAGUUCUAGGGUGGCAAUGUGGUUUUUCCAGAGGUGGUAGAGGCGGGCCAACGGAGGUCUUUCAGUUCUACCUAUCGCAUGCAGCCACGCAUCCGAGUCCAUUUAAUGAAAUAAGCUACCAGUGUCACCAGUGUAAUAACCAAUUCAUUAGUCUUAACCGGUGAAGAAGGAAGAAUGGACAAGUUUGUUUUGCAUUUCUUUCCGAGACCUUAACAAGGCUUGCAAAAAAGAGCACUUUUCACUGCCACCCCACAUUGAAAUCCUCGUGUAGAAAAACGCUGGCUACGAGAUGUUAUCAUUCAUAGACGCUUUUCUCCGGCCAGAUUAAGCUCGCUAAAGAAGAGCAAGAGAAGACAUCAUUCACUACACCCUGGGGAACCUACUGCUAUGUUGUCAUGCCAUUCGGACUUCCAAAUGCUGGAGCCACAUAUCGAAGGGCCGGCCAUCUUUCCAUGAUAUGAUACACGACUGUAUGGGAGUAUACGUUGAAAUCCCGGGAAGCUAACCUUCGUCUAGUCCUCGAAAGAGCCCUAAAAUGGAAGCUCAAUCAGAAUCCAAAGAAAUGCUCGGUCUAUCUGCCGGAAUGCUCCUCGGCUUUAGUGGCUUGAUCAUAUAGGAUUUUACUCAAUCAAAGGAAUUGUUAGCAAACGAGGGCAUUAAGCGUGGAUCCGUCCAAGGUGCGUGCUAUACUCCAGAUGUCUACGCCAAAUAAUAUCAAAGAACAGCGAGGUCUCAUUGGAUUGACCUACUUCAAUCAAUUCAAAGAAAGAGAAAUAGGCUCAUUGACAGCUAGCCGCGGACCGACUAGAGGAAAUCCUACUAAGCACACUGGUGAAAUGAUGUAUCUUAAAUCAGAAAUCUGCAGGAAGAGCAGCAGUUAGUAGUUAGCGCGAAGGAGCUCUUUCGCUGAAUCAUCAUCGGUUCUAUAUCUUUUACCUUAUUCCAAAGGUCCUUUUCUAGAGGGGCGAAGACCACUUCCCCAUUUGAAGAGAAAGGCUACUAGUACGCUCUUUGAAGGAAAGAAAAUAAUGCGCUGGUAGGACAACACUCUAGUGGGAAAAUAGACAAGACAGUCAAUCCAUUCUUGAAAGAAGGGCUUGUUUGCUACGUGAAAUGACAUAGGUUUCCAUCUUAUUCAGAUGCUCAAUUACCGGUCUUUACAGUAUUGCUAAGAGUUUGCUUGCACUGGAUUGGCAGGCGACGACAUCUAUGGAAUUAACGUUAACGGCCAAGGAUAGGAUUUUCGGAAGAAAGCUGUCCAAUUGGAUAAGGGACAUAGCUAAGGAAAAGAAAAGAUCCAACUCAUCGAAAGAUGCCCCGAAGGAACUGCAAGAGAUGAGACAGUUGCUUUCACUAAAGGACCGAACGUUAUAGCCAUAAUCUGAGGUAGGGCCUUUAUUACAGUGGGAAAGAUGCAUCGAAAGUAUAGGCCUUCCUUCUUCCUUUCUUUAGUUUGGACAAAGGGUCUCUUCUCUUUACUGUUGAUGCGGCAUAAAGGCAGUUAGGAAUCGAUCUAUAUGCCAAGAAUAAGACAAGGAACUGACAACGCUAAGUAAGAGCCGGGAUAAAGAUAGGCCGUAUCCAGGAAUGGCGGGAUGCCUAAUGUCUUAGAUAAGGCACGGAACUAAUAGCAAUGGAAUCAUAAUCUUGAGUAAGGACAAAUCCGGCUAAAACAUAAUUGAUGUGAAACAGGGGCUUUGACUUUCAUGAACCAAUAGACUAUAUCCUGCCAUAUAAAUACACUCUCGAGCUAUGUUAGGACUGAAAGGGAUAGCUACGUUCUUAAGUUAGAUAGAUUGUUUGAUAACUCAGAAGAACUCAUAGACUAUAAAUCACUUAAAGUCUUAGAAGAGUUAUUAAGUUAGACAGAGAGAUCACUCUUUCUCUAUAAUAAGCUUUCAGGACAAUGAGAGACAGAGAGUGAGAAUUGUGACUCCAAAGAGGGAUUUAUUAACCUUUACGUGAUCGGUAAGACCUCCAUUCCAUUAUCACACUCCACUUCUUGUCCAGCUCUAGCAAUUCCAGUUGUUGGCGACUCGAAAGGUUCUUUUGUUGAAGUAUAAGGAGGUUCACUUGAUUGACUUUAAUCGUUUAUGGAAUCAGAGGUGUUGUAUCGUAUAGAAAAAAGGGUCAUUAUGGAAUCAGAGGUGUCACUCGCAAAGUCAAUAAAUGGAAUCGCGGUGCGACUUACCUUCUCAAGCACACAGAGACUCGUAGAUGACACUGACUUACCGCUUCUGAAGGACAGAAAGAGAGACCUGUUCCUAGAUGUACCCAAUUCUCUUAUGUACCCAAUUCUCUUAUUUAUUCUUUUUUUUGCACUCCUAUAUUCUUAAAGCAAUGGAACAAACAGACGAGCGACUCGGCGCCAAGUAACGGAUAGAAAAGUCACUACUACAAAGGCAAAGAGAGGAGACAAGCAACUAUGGCUGGGUAAGAGACGGAGUUAACGUUGUUAGCCUUGCAGGAUUCUGUUUCUUGAUCAGAUCCAUCACCUCAAAUCUAUGGUGAGUGCAACCAUCCCUUAUUAAGUAGGUAAGAGUCAAAGGUAACAUAAGAGGGCUUUCUCACUCAUGUUGUAUUAGGGUUGACUUUCGAGUGGCUUUAACUAAUUCCACAAAACAAAACAAAGGGCCACGCGUUACAGCAAUACCAUAGAGAAAGUGAGCUUAGAAAAGAUCCGAGUCCAAAAUAGCUUGGAUGUUUAAUGUAUUCAGUACGCCGGCAGGCAGAGCCUAAAACAAAGGAUCGUUUCGCUGGAAUGAUGAAUCUAGAUACUCCCAUGAAAAGGCUCUUAGGACUCUAAAACGAAUGAAGAAGUAAGAAGCGCCUGUGGUAGCAAGCAAGAAAUAGUUAGCGCCCCAUAUAUCAAUCUGAUAUUACCUCUUUCUCUAUCUGGUGAAGAGAGAAUAGAAGAGAAGAGAGUCUCAAUAGGGCACCCGUCGAGUCCAAAGCUCCAGCUCAAGCAGUUCAGUCCACAAAAAAGAGAAGUCUGCCAACUAGCUCAAGUAACAAGUGUAAAGUAGUGGAAAUCCAGUACCCAAAGGAAUAGGUAAUGCAAGAAUCAAGAGAAAAAGGGCCUUAGGGAGCAGUCAGGAUAGCAACUUUCUGGGUGGAAAAUGUGUAUACUUCAAAAGAUUAUUUGCUUUACCCGGAAGUCACAUAGUAUUCUACUCGUUUCGUAGCAUGAGAUCCUAUUGGCACGGAAGUGAAGAUUGAGAUCAGAAAUACCUCCUCUCUUCGCCAACUAUAAGCCCUUCAUGGACUAACCAUUUGUCCUCUGGAUUUGAGUGGCCUUCUACGGGAACGGAACUGACUAUGAACUUAGGUCUUGAUCCUCCCCGGAAAUGUUGUUCUAUCUGGAAGCAUCAGGGAGACGUGCAUCCUGUCUCUUACCUUACCCAUUUCCACCAACGAGUUAGAGAGUCGCUUUUCUAGAAGGAAAUCCUCUGAAUUCUAUGAUGAGCUCUUUUGAUCUCAGAAAGAGUAAAGCGUAUAAUUAUGGAAAUGAGGGCUUCUUUCCUAGCAUGCGGACAAUCUCAAGAGGGUGGUGAUGCCACUUAUACAACUACUAACACGGAGAUUAAGUGGGUCUAUUGUAUUUUCGGAAUCUCUACAUGGUGAGCUUUCUGAGCCACCCAAGCCAAUCAUCUUACGCGAUAAGAUUGAGAGGAUCCUUGCUAAAAGCUAUUCUUAUUCUGAUAGAUAGUUACUCAUCUCCAUACUUACUUAGAUAUGGAAGAGUUAUCUAGAUGACUUCGACUCAGAAGGCUAAGCUGCUACCCAAAACCUUCUUAUGAUUAAUUACUGACAGCUACAAGAUGAUCCAUAUAAUAUUAGAUUCAAGUUAUACUUCUUCAAGAGCAAAGCAUCUUAUACCGAGAAGCUAGUUCUGGCCCUGACAAGAAAAGAAGAAAGAAUAAGGAAGUGUCUACUUACUUAGUACUGAGUUAGCUUAUAUGAAAGAAGUCGAUGAACUCAUGCAAGCGCAAGGGCGAGCUACCAACUCUGGCUUUUGACUCACACACUUCUAGAAGUCAAAAAGGAAUGCGCUUCACCGGUUGAUCAUGUAUGGAACUAAACGAUCUUUGCUAUACCACGUGAGUACUACCCUGUCUUGUACUUUGUUCGACAGAAUGAAUUAAAGAAUUGCUUCCUGCGAGGGAAGGGUAUAAAAUCUCAGGGCCAACCCACUACUACAAAAGCACAGGUUGCCAGAGCGAACACUAGCUGCCCUGACGCGAAGUUGCAAGGAGGUGGAUGAGCAAGAGAAGAGGAGAGGCGUGUUGGUGCUGCCGAAUUACUAUAAGGUCCUGUUCUUGCCCUUAAGUAAAUUGCUGUAAGUACUGAGUUGUGCCGCGUAGGUCAGUUAUGAAAGUGGAGUUCAAUUGUCUAGGUUCGUAGCUAGGGAAAGAAAGAAAGAAAGGGCUGCCGAAAGAAAGGGCUGUGAACUGCUACCCACCUCCACGACGCAAAGGCUUAAACCCUUAAAGAGGAAGAGAGGAAGACCGCUUGCCAACAUAUAACUUCACUUAGCAAUUAGCAUGGUACUCUUUGUAUUUCUCUUAGCAUAUGCUCCCCAUCCAUACCUCGUAAUCCCUAUGUUUAGCUUAGCACAGGUCUUAUUCGAGACGGUUUUUUUGAUGUGUUCGGUUGGUAGGUAUCCCGGCUGAUUGAUGCUGGGGUAUGUUAUCUACAUUCAUCUUAUGCCUAGGUUCGAUUGAUGCUGGAGGUUAUGUUAUCUACAUUCAUCUUAUGCCUAGGUUCCGUUCUUAUAUCACCGUUAUUAAAAAGGCAUAAGUCUUCGUUGCACUAAGGCUUUAACCACUAACUUCGAAUUGAACAGUGCCUAUAGUGAAUCAAACAAAGAGCCCAAUGUCUAGCUAUAGGGCUUGGAUAGUCAAUAAAGAAUUGCGCCAAGCAGCAACAGAGCAAAUCCCUUUCCCGAACUCUCUCCUUCAGCUGCUCUUCCGCCACUCCGAACUCCGAGCCUUGCCCUACUUACCUGGGACCUUGCUUUGAAACCGACACCCAUUAGCAGCAUCGCCUAUCUGUUAUUUGAGUCCUGCACAGCUUUCUCUAUUCUCACUACCCAGUCUGCGACUACUUGAUCUAAGGUGUUUCUAAGCCUUGCUUCACUGUCUCCGAGCCUGCCGCUCCGACAUCUAAAUAUGUAUUUCACCCUUGACUCUGUCACUACUUCCCUAAAGUCUUUGACGCCGAGCUUAGGAUCUAGGAAAGGGAGAGCUCCGAUUCUGAUUAUGCCCUUACUUAACCUAGCAUUCCAGUCAAUGGAAACAAGAGGAUAAGAAGUCAGAGUGGGUUUACAAUCUAGUGCAUCAGAGCUCUAAGACUAAGGUAGUAUGAUCUAUUACAUUAUAAGACCCAUACCCAUAGUUGUAAGUAUAGAAUGCAACAAAGGCUAAGGAAUGAAACAAAGGUAUAUUAAUUCCACUUAUUCUCCUCGUCUACUGGCGCUUCUUCCCUACGGAAAUUCUGUCUACCAGACUCAAAAGCGUACUUAGGGAAUAGGUAGUGAACCCUAGAGACAGUAAACUCAGAAUGAAAGAAAGGUUAGUAAGAGGCGCGGUAGGGCAAAGCUCUAAGUAAAGGAUGCCAGGAACAAGUAUCAAAACUACAGUCAAUAAUUUCCGUUUUUGGGUUACGAGCUGAGGAGCUAGAGCCGUUAUCUAAGAAUCCGAGUCAGGGGUCUCCUGGGGUUAAGAGCUAGUAGCGGCAUAUUGAGAUAAGGCAUUGGAAGACCUUAAGUUAUUAGAUAUAGAAUAAGAUACAUGGAUUUCAGUUUGAUAUCAAAGAUAGAGGUAUACUAUGAGUUAGGCAGUAAGCAAGGGUUUAGGUCCAUAGUAGCAGACUAACAAUCGAGCUAUAGAGAAUGAAAGGCAGGGAACUUAGGCGGGUCGACAUCCAUAGAUAGGGAAUUGAACGACUACGAAUUCGAGUAAAACAAAGAGAUAGGGUCAAUGUAAUUGAGCUACUGAUACGGAUCUUUGCCUUACUUCACUCCAUUCUGACUGUGCUUUCUCUUACUCUUUGACUUAUUACUUGGAUUCUCCACUUUCAAACUAAAAACACCCGUUAGUCUCACGCCCGCCCUUUGCCUUAAAUCUCUAUUGAAAUUGAUACUAUACUAGCCCUGCCUGUUACUCUUCACUAGAAAACGGACUUCCUUUUCACCGGGCAAGCAACUGUUCGUUCUUGGGGCCGUCUCGCAUAAACUCCCCUAUCAUACGCAUUGGUAUAAACUUAGGACAACGUGGGCCAUCGGUAAUUCAUUCGCGGGCGGGUCUCGCAUUAACUCUGUCUUCUCGCAUUAACUCUGGCUUCUCGCAUUAACUCUGUCUUCGGGCCGGGCUAAACUCUAUUUCAUCUUGGUGCACACAAUCAUUCUGUGCUAUGGUCCAGCAACUCCGGUCCCGUCUUCGCUGUGCUAUGGUCCAGCAACUCCGUCAACGUGGAUCAUCAGACAUCGGCAAGGGGCUCAUUCCUUAAGUCAACCAAUCAUUCUCAUAUAUACACUAUGCGCCUCGGACGUGCGGGUCGAGCAACAAGGUAGUUAACUCCGCCUCCAAGUAACGUAAAUAAGUCUUUCGCUGGUGUGGUUCGGUUGUAAUCGCUGUCAUUCAUGGAAGGGCCGGGCAACUACGUACCUCGGUAAUUCAUUCAUAGGUAGGUCAUUCGUUGGGUGAAACUACAUUGAUUCUGAGGGCAAGCUUAGUAUACUACUCAGGUAUUUCACUAAUUCUUAUUUCNNNNNNNNNNNNNNNNNNNNNNNNNNNNNNNNNNNNNNNNNNNNNNNNNNNNNNNNNNNNNNNNNNNNNNNNNNNNNNNNNNNNNNNNNNNNNNNNNNNNNNNNNNNNNNNNNNNNNNNNNNNNNNNNNNNNNNNNNNNNNNNNNNNNNNNNNNNNNNNNNNNNNNNNNNNNNNNNNNNNNNCAGGUAAUGGAACUCAUCAGUACAAGGCCGAAACCGCUAAUACUAUCAAAGUGGAACCGGGAACUCAACCCCUAUAUCCUAUCUACGAGCCUGCCCUACCUUAUAUUCUGAAUUGAACCACUCUAUUCUUAUCCCUCUGUGCGCUCCCGCUUGUCAACUACUUUACUUGCUUUCAUUCCCCCAUAAGUACUGGUAUCUUUCUGAGUCUCCUAAUUGUAUCUCUCUUUCUAUAUUCUCUUUAUCGGUAUUAAAGUAUAGGCUUUCAAUGAAUUAGAAGCUAUAUUAGGUGCAUUCAAUAGUGGAUUUCCCAUCAACUCCAAAUAAGUGCUGCUCUAGCUCAUUUGAAACUAAUCUAUUUAUUGGUAAAGGCAGAGAAAGGAACAAUACUAUUAAGCUCGGAACUCAGCAUCAAAGGGAUAAGUAGAACACUUGAACUCAACACUUGCAAUUGAACUCGGAACAGGGAAUUCACUAACUUAUAAUAGGAAUGGGACUAGCGAUAACAAGACUGGAGCUACUAACUACCAGAAUGAAAACAUCGAGUGGUAACUAAAUCCAGUAGUAACAGAGUUAGGUUUGUGAUCCCAAGAAUGGUCUUUAGUAUGGGGGAAAGCGGAAUGAACCUCAUUAGUCAAAUCAUAUUAAAGGAAUGCGCCAGGGAAUGCACCAAUGGAUACGUAAUGAAACAAUAGAUACGGAAGCCGGCUUGACAUAGAGAAUGAGUCGUCUACGCGGACUAUCCGAAUGAGCUCUGUGGGCAGGGGAUCAGAUCCACCCCAUCAGCAUAUGGAACGAAACCACCCAACUAUAUUAUGACUUUUCUUAAUAGCCAAAUAACUUACCCGACUCUCUUUGGACAGUGCCAAUGCUAUUAUUAGUUGAGAGUUGGGGUAGAGGAGAGGGAUGCCGAGAUUCAAGGUAGAGUCAAUUAGGCUUAGAAGUAGAGUCAAUCUCCGGGGGUUUUUAAUCAAGAGUAAGAAGAUAAUAUGAUAUAAUAUAACGGAAUACUCAAUUUCAUAAUCAAAUAAACAAGUCAAAACCAAAGACAGUAGCUAAGGAAGUAAAGUAAGGCAGGGCAUCCUUGUGGAAGCACUAAUUAAUGAAUUCAAAUCAACAGUUUCGGCUUUAAAGCAAGGGGGGACAUUCUUGUUAGUCAGUGGCUACAGUCUGUUAGACAGUGUUCGAUCUGAUAGUUAGUAUAGUUGUUCAAGCCCUAGUUCUUAGUUUAAGUAAUAGGAGGAGUAGUUUGAUUCGUGUCCUUCAGCUCAAGUAUUAGAAAAGCUACAGUCAGUACAAAAUAGGGUACUUUGUUUUGACUUUGAAGAUCUCUCUGUUUGCUCUUUCUGCGGCUUUCUCCCCGGUGAAAAGAUGAAUUCAAUUGGCUCACUCGAUCUGGAAUGGAACCGGAUAAUAUGAAAUGGGCUCUCGACCCAGGCCUUGCUUUGUUUACCUGUCUUAUCGUAUCCAAAAAGGUUUCCCAGCCUAGCCUAUCUCGUUGUUUGGUACCGAAAGAUGGAAUCGGGCAGCUCAAAACCAGCCCAAUCUCUUCAUGGUCAACAUCCCCUUUUCUUAAGCUUUUCGUCUUGUUGCAUGUGCCUUACGGUAUCCUCCGUCCUCUCUGUUUCCUAUGAUUGAAGUUCAGAUCCGCAAUAGUAAGUAUAUGAAAGGGCAGCUUUCCUUGGUAAUAAAAUGCAUAAGGAAUCUGGUUUUCAUAGAACUGAGGACUAGAGGCCUCCCCACCCAAUUGAGAGGAGAAAGUCUUUUCUUCUAAAACCCAACCAGUUGUUAGAGAUGGGUCGGAUAGGCAAUCAACAUGAUUGGUCCCGUCCCAGUUUAAGUAGUUGGAUGUGAGUGCGUCGGAUAAGCGAAAGCUAGCAGUAUAUCGAUCAAAGAAAUCAUACGGAUUUAACAACCUACAGAUUCUGAAUAAGCUUCAUUGUUCCCACCAUCCAUAUUAUAUCAUCCAAGAAAGAAUUAUAUCAUCCAAGAAAGAAUAAGAAAUGAGAGAAUAGAAUACAGAAUUAUAUCAUCCAAGAAAGAAUAAGAAAUGAGAGAAUAGAAUAUAUGAGUAAGAAUCAAUCGUUCAGUGAUCGCUACGCUUGAUUGAUUGGGGCUACUCACACGGGGUUGGAGAACACAGGACUUGUUUAUAACUUGAAGGAAUUGUUAUAGGAAGCAGCCCUGCCGCGCUACAACUACUUGGAAGCCGCCCUAAGGGAAUGAGUUGGCGUGGGAAGCUUUCUCACCGGGGGCAAAGCCAAUUCACCUAUAUAAGAAGAGAUAGAAUUAUCCACUGGGCAAGUAACUCCUAAUGUGUAGCGGCAGCCUUCUCCACUUUUCUGGAUUAUUUAUGAUUUCUAAUUGAUUGUUUUCCAAGUCAGUAAACUCCCUGAGCCCGUAAGUAAACCAGCCGACCUUCGCCUCAAAGCGAGUACUCUCUGGAACAAGCCUCCCCUAACAAGCAAGUAAGUCAACCAGAUCUGUGCAGGAACCAGAGGUAUAGUAGCCAUUGUCUAGUACUAAUAGGUCUAAGCGAAAUAGGGUUUCCAUUUCUGAUAUUAGUUCUCGCUGUAGUAAAAGCAAGAAUUCCCCAUACCCUCCAAAGGGAUUCAAAUCUUAGCAUGAUGAGCAUCCCUUCAUUCUUCCCAGCGUUCCAGUAUAUAGUCAGGGUCACUGCAUCUUUUAUUAAAGGGUAGAGCAAUCCGAAUCCCUCCCGCUAUUUUCAAGCUUACAUCUCUUGUGAUUGUUACCCUUUCAUUAGAUUGCUUAUAAUAACUCGAUCGUAGUGGUUCAGUCUCCUCUAACCAAUUACUUGGUUCCCAAUUCUCAUCCCUAGUGUAGGUGAUUUUGAUUCCCCAGGAAGUUUUACACCCUCUUAUAAAGGCUUGGAGAGGCCAGUCAGCAUAUAUGGUUUGCUUGUUUCCUUUAUUUGUCUUCUACUCUUCUCCCGUCUGCUUCAGGUUCCACCAAUCCACAUUCUGUUUAUGGUGUUCAUUCGAAAUAAUAGCUAAGGAUAUCGGCCUCCAAAGAUUCUUUAAGAGCAUCAUUUGUUUCCACUGAAUUUGUGUUUUUUCCAGUGGUAUUAGUUCUUUCUUCAUCUCAAGGGGUAUGUUUGCAAACUCGAGUGUAGACAAUAUUCCUUUAACCUGCUCCCCUAAGCUUAAUUGCUCGGCGUGCAUGUGUGCUGUUAACAGGCUCUUAGCACCCGAACACAGGACUUAGUAAUUCCUUGGCUGAUAGCAAUUCCAGACUUCAGUACUUAUGGUCAUAGGUGUCUGAUUCUUUGACUGACUAGUGGAAUUCUGAUCUUAGGAGUUUCAGCUCUAUUCUGAUCUUAGGAGCUGUGCUUACUGGUGGAAUUCUCACUUUUUGGAAUUGGAUUCCUCUGAUUGAAUCAUUGGUCCUAAGGUCUGUUUCAAUUCGAUUUGCAUCUGUAUUUGCGACUCGAUUUCCUUUAUUUCGCCCUACAUGCCUAUACUCUAAUAAGUUGGAUGAUGCCCUGGCAAAAGCACCUACUCUGACGACUAUUGAGUUUCUUUCUGAGUACCGACUCCAGGUAGCCUUCCCUCCCACACCACACGCCCACUCUUCUAGUAAUAUAUCUCAUUCCCUAUUGUUCAUUUGGUUCUUGGACUGAUGAGUUCAACUCCUUGUCUGAGUGUUGAUGCCUCUGAUUGAAUCAUUGGUGAAAAAGUCAGUAGCCCGCUCUAAGUCAUAUAAGUGAGUAGUAUGCCCAGAGUAAUAUGGAUAGUCUGCUCUUAUUCUUUCCUAACAAAGAAAGAAAGGAAUUCCAAUGAUCCUAGGCAAAUAAAAAGAUGUUGCCCGCACCCUCCAUCACAGAAUAGUUAUAGGUAUCAAUACACCCAAUCCCAGAUAGCAGCCAAGAAGCACUAGCCAGAAAACACAAAGCCCCCUUACUAACUCCAACGGGAUUCGCCUCCUGAAAGACUCCAACCACCAUCUUAAUGAGUCAUGAAGAGUAUAACGAACAUACCUUAUCUACACAUUGGAUCGAUAGGGAUCACGCUUAUUCGUAGAAAGCCGAAUAUUGAUAGCCUGGCCGGGCAACUAACUAGCAUUAUAUGGACAGAAAGCAAUCGACCGGGAUCAUUCCAUACGAACUAAAGUAUGAACACGAUACCAUGGAAAUAUCCCUUUCUCAAAGAUAAAUGGACACAAAGUGAACUCUCAUUUAUCGCAUUGGAAAAGACGUUUCUUAUUUCUCUAACCUUUUCAGUGGAUUCUCUGUAUGAGAAAGAUAUAGUGUUGGUGUGAAAAGAAAUAUAGUUAUUCUGUUCCAUUGAAUAAUAACGUAACAAUUCCAUUCGUAAGAAUAAAGAGAAGCUGUGGAUCCAUUCUAUACCCAAUGAGUCCCAGCACAAUGGGAGUGUUCUACUUUCUUUCGGGGGUGGGCAUAUAGACUUUUGUGUUUCUUAUUCCAGCCGUAAGUUUCAAUUUGUCUUUAUUCAUUCUGUCUUAAAAGAAAAAGGGCGGAAGACGAUAAAGCCAUUGUGACCUUUCCAUAUUAAGGUGAAGUGUAUGGUACUAUAUUUCUCUCUGGAAUUGAAUGCCCAAUUUCGGAGUCCUCUGUAGAGGAAGAUGCAGUAUGGGUUUCUUACUAGUGCUAAUCUUCUGGGUCAUAUGGCGUUCUCUCCCUCGAUCGAGAUGUCCUCAGAAAAUGAUUCCAACAGUAGUAAUGAGUAUUGACAUAUAUAGAACAAAGUAGGUCGAUAAAGUAUUCAAACAUAAGAAAUACUAUGCAUUCGCCCUUAGAGAGCAUAAGAAUAAUAAGAGACUAUACCUCAGGACAUAAGAAUAAUCAGAUUAUGCAUUCGCAACCCUAUAUAGAAUUUCAGAAUAAGUUCUAAUAGCAUGGCAUCGCACUUUGAGUUCUAUGAACAAACCAUUAUUCUAAGAAAGUCAAUACGAACAAUCAAAUAAAGUCAUAUUGAAAUAUGAGUAUUGGACCUAACCCCCAGAUAGUAAGUCCUAGACUCGAUAGCUGCAUUCCGGAUCUCGUAUUUCAGUAUUGAACUCCCGGGGACGUACUUGACAACUACUCUACCCUGGUCCGCACCUUAACUCGGUAUUUCCUCCUAGACUCAAGACUUAUAAACUUAGUUCUCUUAUGACAAUUCUGUAUUUCACUUGGGAGUCUCCGUUUUGCCUUGAAGAGCUCACUACAAUGGCAUCUAAAUAAGAUUAGCUAUCCAACCAAAUAAGUGUUGCUAGAGUUCUUUUUUCACAAAUAUCUUAAUUGGAUUGGGAAAAUGGUAAGUGAUAUGAAGAAUUUCGCUUCCAAGUAAGAAUACCGGUAUAGACGCCUCAACCCCAACUAGGCUUGUCUUAUUGGUAGUGAUUUCACUCUUUUACUUACAUUACAAGUUGGAUUCAUUAACUAAUGGGCCCAACCCCUGCUCUACAGCUUAUCAGGUUUCUCUCAAAUCAAUAGGGUAGUCAAAACAGUGUGUUACGCAUCGCCAUAUUGAGACCGUUUUCACCGGAUUUCCAAAAGCAAAUAAGAAGAAGUUGACUAUACUCCAUAACAUAAUAAUAGGAUAAGGUUGGUCAACUGGCCAAGCGCCAAGGAACUCAAAUACAUAAAAAGUAAUAAGGUUGCGAAGCAAAUAACUUAUUUUGUUGUUGUUAUUACAAUUCCUGUGUUCGGCAGACAAGACGACACUAUUGAUACAAGCAAUCUAUUUGGGCGGUUUCGUUAUUGUACUUUUGGGUAAAAUUCCUACUGAUGCGUUUUAGCCUUAGCCCAACUCGGGUAUUCUUGAUUCCUUUAGGCCUCCUAUAACUGGUCUUGGUACUCCAUUCCUGUAUGCCCCUGUUCGGUUCUUGUUAGUAGUGAUAUCCGCCUUGUAAGUAGUAAGUAGUAGUCCGCUUGUCACUAGUGCGUUUCUCGUAAAGCAGUAGUUCACUCCCCAUCUGUACUAGUCAAAUUCCUUAUUCUUAACUAUAAGAGAAGGUAUGUUUGCCAGCAGCUCCAUUAUGAGGAGCACUAGAUUUCGUUUUCAAGCAAAGAAAAUAUGGGUAGGGUUCAAUCAAGGAUCCGUAUCAGUAGCUAGGGAAUUCCAGACAAGGAUAUAGGAUUUGAAGCGGGUGUUUGUUCCAUGACUCAACAGAAUACGAUGACUCAAUAGAAUACGAGAAAACACAGAUAAAUAAGAACAUAUUACUUAGUUUGGUUCUAUGGGCUACUAAACAUAUCCUGCAUAAUCCCCAUAUAGUACAACAAGUCUGUUUGCCACUAGCUCCAUCGUUCAAUGAUGAUAACUAUUGUCCCUUUGAACCCAAUCGUAGUCAAGAUCGAAGUUCCUAGAAUAAUAAUAUACUCCAAUUUCAUAUACUAUCUUGUUUGAGCACAUUAAUACAAGUUAAUGGAAUACCCAAUUUGAGAAUAUAGGUUAUACUCCCAACUGACCUUAACAAACUAUACUAUCAUACAGAAUUGAACAUAGGAGCCUAAGUCAUAACCUUUGAAUUUACCUACAGUUAACUGGGCUCUAUUAUUAGUCUAUCCUGCCUUGCUUCGAUUCUCCAUCUAAGUAGUAGUUCGUUCUCGUAGUUGUCCCUUGCGCCCUUGCUUGUUGGGUCGGGCCUCGAGUAUGACUUGCGCUGCUCUGUUAAUGUAGACACAUUGGUAUUCUUUGAACUUUUCUUGAUUUCUAUAUUGAUAUUGAUUAUACUGAUAUGUGUGUUUUCAUAUGAUAUUUGCUAUUACUAUGAGGCUUUAACACCUGGCCAGCAAUAUAGCAAACAAACUUAAACAACGGGCGAUUGUUCACUUCGACGACGCCAUGGCGAUCAGAUCAAACCAUAGGGACAGAGCGAAAAACAGCACGUGUCGCGUCAGUGCAGUGUCUCGGUAGGCUCAGUCAGAGCAAGAUCUGUGGCAUAACUCGAUCACAAGAAAAAACCCUUCCGUUUCCCUCAUAGCGCUAUCAGACUUAGAGAGAAGUUUCUCAUCACUCACCUGCCUUUCAGAGUGACCUUUUUCUUUUUCAUAGAAAUACCUUACAGCGAAAGGGACUAUGUAAGUGCCAAGAGAUAGAAUCAUAGUUUCAACCAUUAAUGACAAUGUUAUUAUCUUCCCGCUUUGUUUAUUCUCUAUUUGUUGCAGGGGGUCAAAGGAAUCUAGCUAAACCCGUUCAAUAGCAGUUUUCUUUAGUGGCUCCCCGCAUUCGCAUGGGCUAAUUACUUGGUGCUACAAAGAUUAGAAACAUAAGUCUCUUGGAUCCCAUCUAUCUACAGACCUUCUUAGCUAUCAAAGUAGAUUUCUAUAUGCCCGUUGAUUGAUCCAAGUCUUUAGUUACAACAGGAGAGCUUGUUUACAUAUCUUUCUUUUGACCAGCUGCUCAGGAAGCCACCAACCAACAAGAAAUCGUUUUUAGAACAAAGAGUCGAAUUCAGGCAAUAGGUUCCCCUGAGCCUUCGAUUCUUGCAAGUAGGAAAGCUUCUUAUGGGGUUGGGAAUGGGAAGGAAGAGACUGGAAUGCCCCUAGAAAGAAAGAAAAGCUCUGUGUAUUACUUUAGAAGCAAACAGAUAGCAUUUACGAGUCAGGGAUCCGUCUAGCAAAAGGUAAUGGAAUGGGCUUACAUUCAUUCGAUGAGGGCAAAAGAAUGAGAAGACAUCACAUAACAGAUCCUCUUAUAUUGAAAGCUAGGAAUUGAGCCGCUAAGCAACAAGAAAACGGUAGUUGUACUCUACCAGUGAGUGAAAUAAACUCGGCGGAACGGAACUAAGGUUUCACUCAGAUAGAGCCUAAAGUCAAGCAAACCCUAUAGCCCAGGGAUUCUUUGAAUGGCACCGACAUACCCUUUCUUUAAUGGAUUAGAGAUCAAAGUAUAGAUUGAAAACGCAAAGUGGAGAUUGAAAACAUAGUGAAGCUUGGACUGACCUUCAUGCAUUCUUUUUCUAUAUGAGAAUCUCGCAAAAAGAGACAAGUUAAGCCCUAAUACGUUUAGCUACUCAUUCAUUCGCAUUCGAUUAGGCAGAGAAGAAACCUUGAUGAAGAUUCGAAUUCUUAUAGUAGGAAAGCGAUCACACUUCUAUCUAGACUGCCCCUUUAAUCACUCACUCUAUUUAGUAUAGAUUUAUUUGAAACAUUCUCUCAUUGAUUAGCUAUCUCACGGCUGUCUGCUCUUCGUUUUUGGGUUGUAAAGGCAGCCGGCAUGAGAGAACAGCACCCCUUAUGGGUAAGCAGCAUCUUCGAACUUUCGUGACUAGGCAAAUUCUUAUUCCAGCCCAGCACUCGCAGCUUCACUUAAGGAGCAGCCUAAACAAAGGUGUGGGUCAGAUAGGGAGUUUGUUGAACAGCACGGCAUUCUGAUUUUGAUGAAACUAGCCUGUAGACAUCUGAACAUAGGCUAAUUGGGAUAUAAACCUAAGGGCCAAACUGAAUGGAACAGCCGAUUGAGAGGCAGAAGAUCAGAGGUCCCUUAACCUACACCUAUUAAGAAAGAAAGGGAUUUGGAAAGGGCCGCAGCUGCAUCAACGACGGGACUGAGACUUGGAAGGCAGGCUUAUUCCAGCAAGGGAAGUGGGGGCAGACGUUCAAGAAGUCGUGACAUGUGAUCUCACCUACCUUAUCCGAUCUGAUGUCUUCGAGGGCAUUGAGGAAAAGGCACAACACGCCAAUGAAAAGAGAAACUCGCUCAUAUAUAAGAGAUCAUUUGACUUUAAAGUAGUGCUUGAUUGAGGGAUUAACCCCGAAUCCUUACACUUUCCGGUACAAUGCCUACUCCCUUUUCCUCUUUCAAGUGGGUGGAACUCUUUAUAAGGCAAAAGAAAGGUUCAAGCAGAAAGAUCUCAUAUUGAACUUCAAAGAACGCUAGGAAAGAAAAGAAAAACGAAGUCAAUCCCAUAACGAACGGAGAUUUAUUGCAUUACGUCAUUCACGUCUAGCUCACCCAAUAACGCCCUACCCGCCAGAGAGGGAAAUGCCUUGACAGUGCCUAUUCUUUCUUCUGAAUAAUACCCUUAUACUUAAGUGGAGUUGGAGUUGAUGAAUUGGCCGUAGGUUUUCUCCAUCCAUCUGAACGGAACUAUCUUCCCUUCAAGCAAGGCUGACUUCAUUGAAUGCUUCCGCGAGGCUGACUUCGUUGAAUGCUUCAAAGCGUAGUUUCAUUGGCGCUUAAUAGCCAGUAGCUGAAUGGAAUGUGGGUAUACCCUGACCUCUAGGCUAACAGAAUAGCACUUGUGGAAUGACCUUAUUAUGCCCCUUUCUUUUAGUUCAAAAGGAUCUCUUCACUGACUCCCAUCUAUUUCAUCUUUCUCAUCGAAAAAUCAAUCGUACUUACUUACUGACAGACUUUCAUUAAUUGUUUACUGCCUACUGAGCUUACUGAAUGCUUUUCCUGCCCUUUGACCAGAAGACGGAAAGAAAAUAAGGUAGGUUCUUCCACAUAUAUCCAUUUAGAGAAAAACGAAAAGGGGAUGGGGAAACGGAGGGGACUUUCUUUCACGCACGAUAGGCCAGGCGUUGAACCGUUACUGCCGCCAAACCAAGAACGGAAAGAGACUCCUAUAGAUCGAAUACCAGACUGCCCACUACACUCCCGAAGACAAGACUUGCAACUGAAAAAAGAACUUCUUCUUCUCGGCUUUCCACUUAAUGUAAACCACCCGACCUCUACUUCACUUGCAGACUUAUGGACAGAAGAAAUAGGACUUGUUGCGACGAGGAAAACAUGAAAGAAAACUGGAAUUGUAAUAACUUAUUGGGGUGUUCGAGAGCAGAGCCAGAGAGAUAAUGUAAAAGCCGGCCCUUCCCUUAAGCGCUCCAUGUAGUGGGCAUGAGAAAAAAGAUGAUCUUCACGAUGAAAGUCAAAAGCACCCAAAGAAACGAAUAAUAUUAUUUCAAAGGAGCUACAGCACCAAACUGUUAUUUUGUUAUGAAUUAGAGCACCAAACUGUUAUUUUGUUAUGAAUUAGUCCUGGCAACUACUAGACAAGUAUAGAAACUAAAACAACAACUUCUAUAUUUACUACUUGCUUAACACAAGCCACUAAACCCUAGUAAUAUCAAUCCCCAAAAUGAACCGACCUGACCUCCUUUCUUUAGUUUUGCUUGUUGAGUUCCUGUCUUCCGCUUACGUAAGAGUUAUUGGAAUUCCUGUCUUAGUCGGCGCCAGUGAGUGACUCAAGCGAAAGCGCAUAGAACAAAAGGUCAUAUCCGGGUAAGAAAAAGAUUCCACAAUUCCUGUAUGAACGGAAUGUAUACCAGGUAAGAAAAAGAUUCCACAAUUCCUGUAUGAACGGAAUGUAUACCAGAGAAUUAAGCAGGAGCUGGAAAGUCUCAAGGUGUUACCCACGAAAGAGAGAGAAUCCGCGGCUGCGGUUCAAUAGUCAGCAGCAAGUUGUUCUUCACUGAAAGUAUAGGUGAGGUCGGCAAUCAAGUCUUCCAAUUCCAGUAUCGUUCUAGUUGUUGGCUACGAGUAAGGUCAGAGGUAAGCUGUCAAUUAAGUUGAGGUAACAGCGCUAAAGUCAGUGAUAAGGCUAAGUGAUUCAGUAUCCAAGUCGUCAACCGCUUGUCCCGGGUACAGUAUCAGAUCCUACAUCUUUGCUUGGAGAAUUCCAUUCUAAUGCAUUCGAAUCGACAACACCAAGAUAUCACACUGAUUCUUAACCUUAGGAUUCUCUUUCUUCUGCUUCAGUACAACGUGCUUCAAACAUAAACCCAACAUCCAGGUAAACUGAUUGCAUUGCCAACACCUCGAUACUCUUCUGCUACACUGCGUAGUGGGCAUUAUCAAAGGUCAAUUCUGUCUUCAGACUCAACGAGGAAGGUAUGGGUUCGGUACGACUUAAUCAUAUUUCAAGGGCAAGUUCCGUUGAUAGAGGUGGUGAUUGGCUUUUCCUUUAGGUGGGCGACCGGAAGUUUUUAACUAAACACAAGUCUACGAUAUCAUCUGCUGGAUCUAUUCUAGGAAAAUACUCCCUUUAGCACUUGUUCUUGUUGUUCCGUUGUUUGUUGUUUCGGGGUCACUAUAUCUAGCUUACUUUUAGCCUAACCUUUAUGUGGCGAUUCGAGAUCUUCUUCUUAAUAUGAUUCAACGAAGGCAAGAGAACGAGCUCUACUUAGAAGGGGAUAUAAAGCGGGGAAGAAUCCAAGAGUGACUGAGGACUGUUACACUGAAGAUACCCCUUUCCCUUGGAAUAGAUAGAUAAAGACCCAAUUCGAAUUCUCAUGUUGGUGCAGGAGAUGUAGCGUAAAGUACAUGAGAUUGAGAUGUUGUAGCCGAGGAUACAUGAGAUUAACAAUCAGUAAGUAUAGUAGGGCUCCGUUAGCUGGCUGUGGUAUAGAAACCCAGUAAAGAAACAAACCACUUCCCUUUCUUUUCAAUCGGACCUCUGACUUUAUCCUUCGCAUUCAAUUAACGAUUCCACUCGAACAUCAAUUUAUGAACGGUCGCCAACAAACAUGGAUUGAAGUUUCACUCCACUUUAUGAUUGAAGUUUCACUCCACUUUAUGAACCGAAAUAUGAAGUUCUAACUGAUUCACUUUGCGCAACAGCCUUUGAGCAGCGAGCGGGACUAUAAGCCCUUUUUGCUCACUUUUACCUAUAGGGUAAACUCCUCUUUUGUGGGAAUCAUUUCAACUCGGAAACAGUCCCUCUGGUGCAUCUUAGCCUAGCAUCUUACCUGUUUCAAAGCUCGAUAAGCAAAGGUUUCAAGUCCAGCCCUUGAUUAACUCGCAUUAGCCGAGAAAACAGGACUGUAUGAAGUGAAGUCAACAAAUACUAAUCUCUCUGCAGAACGAGCAUAUGGGGGUCUUGUAUAGAUUUCUUCAAAUACACUACUUAAGCUAUUCCUGGCAACUACUAUACUCCAGACAAGCAACUACGGAGUGGAAGGUAUAAAACAGAGGUGGGAAUAACUCACUUUAGCUAUGAAUUAGGACUCGCUCAUAACUCAUUAUAACAUAGGAAUUGAGCUCCUGCCGCUUUUAACUCGAACAUCACCUUUCUACCAUAGAAACUUUAACCUAUGAUUCUAUAAACGAUUCUUGAGUUGAUUCAGCUUAAGGCGGAUUUCUCGUUGUUUAACCUAUGUUCAAGGUUUCAAAUGCAUUUGUCACAGGAGGGCGUGAAGACUCAUUUCCACUCGAAACCCGUCCCUAGAAUUCAUUUAAGCCUAACAUCUCGAUGGUUCCUUGCCUUAGCGCAACUAAUUCAUUCAUUUCUUCACUAAUACGUUCUGACUAAUAGAAUAUGGUCUUACUAAUACGCAUCUCACUCAUAUUCAUUGGGCAGUCAAACUAAUCAUCAUCUAUUGUUCUUUCGAGCCCUAAAACUAAUCAUCAUCUAUUGUUCUUUCGAGCCCUAGUAUAUAUAUAUGUUAGUAAUAUUCUACCUUACUCCACUUUUCUUGUUCUUUCGAGCCUAAGUCACUAUCAUGGAACUUCCUUUCGGGUACCUCAAUGGGUGAAGCGCGAUUAGCGUGAUUCAACAUAAGCUUCGGUUCGGGGUAAGAAAUGACAACGAUGCCGAGAAGAGUCUGGCCUAUCUCCUAGGUAACUCUUCAGGGCUCAGAUCAAACAGGAUUCUCUUUCGUAUAGGCCCUUUUUUAAGGAGAAGGAAGGCUCGGGCCACACAGGCCGGAAAGUGCCUUGCAAAGGAAGGCAAAUCAAAGAGUCAAGAUCCUCGAGAAAGGCCAGUGUUCAGAGUGUUGUCAUGUCAUAAUCAUUCCAAUGCUCCUUUUCGCCACUCUUGCUUUUCCCUUCAUAAGGCGCGUUCAUCAGUCGCUUCACUAUUCCCCGACCCGAACUCUAUUAACUUGCGAGCACAUUGCAACUCACUCUACGAGAAGCUAGCCACCUUUCAUCCCGAUAAAGAAAAGAUUCUUUGAUGAAAGCUCCGAAUAGAAAUGCAAAAGAGAAAAGAUAAGCCUAUGAUCCCUAAUUGAGGAAGGGUGCUAUAAAAGCGGAUCAGAAGCAAGCUCAUCGGGGCUCGAGCAAGAAGAAAAGGGGCCUCCGCCUGGGAGAGACGAAAGUAGGCCAUAGUUAUCUGCCACAUAAGAGGUUAAAGCUAAAGGAGUUUCCGUAAGUGUAAUAUCUUUAUAUGAGAGUUGAUGCUCUCUCUUCCAAAGACAAGAGGUAUAAUUCUGUGCUUCCUUUCACUCUAUUUUAUUCAAGCCAGGCAAAGCUUCUUCUCUCGGAGACAACACUCAAACUGGGAGGGCAUUCUAUUUCUUCUGAUCCCACAUAGGAUCUGAAAACGUAUGAUGACCUCUAUUACUCGACUUCAACAUGAUAAACCCCCUCAACGGAGACCUUUGCUGGAACGCUAUCUUUCUAGGCUCAACAUAUUAUGAUCCUUAAACUUCUACUACACUUGAUGAUUCUUCACCGACAGAUGAAACUAGAACAGACAAUUCUCCACUUAGAGCUUCAAAGCCAGUACCCGAUCCAUCUUAUGCUUGAGACUAUUCCUCUAUCAGAGACGGAGAUGAACGUAAGCCAACUCACUCCUAUCUAGCAGACAACACUCGAACUGGGAUUCAACCUAGAAUUCACUCUACUUCCGGACAAUCUGUUUAGGACAGUUUCUCCAAUAUCCUUUACUACAAGCAAGCCCCGAACCAACAUCUCCUCUGGCUCACUUGCAUUCUUAUAUUGACUGGUCUUAUUCUGAUCUUAGUAGCUAUAGUAUUGGAAGCAAUGUAGCUAUAGCCUUCCACUCACUGGUUGCAUUCUGUUACUACUUAGGUGGAUUCUAACUUGCUUCAUUCCCCAACUCCCAAGCUGCAGCCUUGGUAGCUGUGGGUUCAUCCUAUCCCUUCACUCAUCUCAUUUCGGUCAGCACUGCUUUGAGUCUGAAGUAGGGGUGGAGUUAAGCCUGGUUGUUAGUGCUUGAAGCCUUACUGCCGCUAUAGGGGGUUCAGUCUGAUUGGAUCGAGUUGCAUUCUUUGACUGCUCAGGGACAUCCUGUAAUUCCGUAUUCCUAGCCUGGUCCGUAUUCCUAGCCUGGGGAGUUUCAUUCUGAGUGACACUAGCUACAUUCUAUCCCACUAGCGGGCGUAGUUCAUUCUGUGAUUUACUUGUUUGAUCUGUAAUCCUUAAUAAGAAGAGAGAGAAUUUAUAUCACUUUUCCCUUAGCUAUUUUACUGAAAGCCUUACGAUGGACUCUCGAAGGGAGGGUGGGCGAAGAAGGCUCAAUUGCUGGGCUCUCGAGACAGUUUCCCCGUACCAAAAAUGCCAAGGCCAUGACAAAAAGCAGCAGAAGAAUUCAAAGCAAGCGCGAAAGAGGACAUCUCCAAAAGGCCUCGCGUUGAGGCGGCUUCCUUCUAAAUGAAAUAAGUUCGAAUUAUAAGAAAGUAACGUUUCGGGCUAGCAUAUGCUUACGCCUUUUCGUUGUCGUUCUGUAAGCCAUAAUCUAAUCUUCCGGAAGUUAGGGGCAUGUGGCUGCGCAAAAGAGGAUUCUCAAACGACUAAGGUAAGUCAGAUCCCAUCCUAAAGAUUAGAUGAAGAUGUCACGAUCAAUCCCUAUAAAAUCCCUAAGGAAGCUUCCACUCCCGGGUAGUAGCUGCUAUAAGAGAAGCUCUUUGGUCUGGGUCUUCGGGGUCUACUAUUCCUUUCCUCUAAUGACUAAAUGUCAAACUUACCGAAAUGGGGCUCUUUAAAUAAAUAAAGGCUUUAUUAACAGGAAACUUUGGAGAGGGUAAGUCCAUUUCCCAUCCCACUACUAACCCAAGCUCCGGAGUUCUGGUGCUCAAGAAAGAAUAAGAAAAGAGAAUUGCUGUUAUCCCACGGCUGCCUGUGUUCAGUGGAGGAAGGAAGCCAUACAUGGAGGUGCCCUCAGGAAGUUGUCCAAAGAGAGGCCUUCGAUAAGCCUUUUGCUCAAGCUUCUACUUUCACUUGAUAAAGGAAAUAGGCAUUUAGGACAAAUUGACCAAGGAAAUAAGAAAAUGGCACAUUUCGAUGUUACUUAUGACCUGAGAAUAAGAUCUCCCUUAGGUUCUUUGACAGAGCGGAAAGAAAGUUGAAACACGCGCUUAUGCAAGGGAUGAAGAAUAGGUUCAAAAUGCCACAGAAUGUCUUAUAUGAAUAGGAAUCGGUUGAUCAAAGCUCAUUUUUGAUACAUAAACACUUGGCGCUCUGAAUAUCUUUCCUCAAUGACAGGAGGAGCUUUUCCCCUUUAAGACAACUGGAGUCUUAGGGGAUCAGACGGAUGAACCGAUCGGCAAAUAGUCUUCUCGCAAUAAGGGCUCUCCCUCCACUUUACACUUCAAUCUUGUCCUUUAUCUAUCAAACCCACGAGAAACCGGAGUGGGCAAUCUAUAAUGACAUAUGUAAACCCAUCUAUCCUAGCAAUCUAUAAUGACAUAUGUCACAACCUAUCUAUCCUAGAGACUUCGGUUUGAAACAUGAGCCUUUUUAGAUCCUUUCCAGUUAAAGGUCAGUCAGGUCUUUUAGAUUUCUUUCUAUUUCACUUAUUUGUACCUUUUCUUUCCAGAGGAAAACCCUCUUUCACUUCAGAAUUCUGCAUUUCAAAAAGAGGUCUCUCCCUCUCGGGAAAGGUGUGCCAGGAGCUUAUACAAGGUGUGUUCUGUUCUAUGUUACCUAUUACUAACACACUUUUACACUACUUGUCUUGUCUCUCAUCUCAUAGUCGGAAUAGUGAUGAUCGAUCUUCUUCGGUUCCUUUCCUUAGACUAUAUCUUUUGGUUUGAAUUCUUUCAUUACUCCCCAACUACUUAGAAAUGAGAUAUUGAUGUAUUUAAAAGAUACGCAUUUCAGCCAACAGUAGUGACACUCUUCUACUUCCGGGCUCAAGUUUUAAACAACACGAGUUAGAGGAGCUCCUAAUGAACUCAACGUUUACAAGCACUCUUUCUAUCCAAAGGUAAUGAAAGAAAUCUGCUCUAUCUUCUUUUCGAUCUUGUACUAAGGUGAACAAUAACCCAAUCCGCUCAAAAGUGGGGUUGCAAGUAAGAUCAAGAAAGUUUACUACGAAUGAGAGAACGAAAGCUAGUCGGAACGGAAGGAUAGUAUAGGAGAUGUGGCUUUUGUUGGGGAGCCUCUAUCUUAGACGCGGUAGUGCAUGAGAAGUGGAUCCAUCCAGUUCAGGCGGAUAGCCAGUUGUAUCGGGUAGAACCUCUCAAACCUACGAUAUUAUCAAACGGGAGAUCGGGAUCAUCAAAUAGUACGAGCAAGAUGUGGUCCAAAGAACGGAGCCUACCUCGUCGAAGCAGGACCCAUUGAGACUAAACGGAGACCAAACAAACAAAGAGAGACAUGGAAGAAUGCAAUGCAGCCUAGAUUAAGGGGAGGAACUAGCGCCCCCGAGUAUAGAGUGGCUAUUCGAUGAAAUGACUUUCGAGAAUUUCCAGCUUUAUACCGUCUGAUCUUAUCUUAAUUGAAUUGAGGAAGAUACAAAGUCAUUCAAGUUCUUCUAUUAAUAAGACAUUUCAUAACUCACUUGCUAAGUCAGAUACCAAGCCAAGGAGAGGUGCUCUCUCGCCUCAUUGUUUUCCGUGAGAUUUCAAAAGCAGUCUAGUCUUUUGGAUGCGAAAAGUUUCAUGUAUAGAUAGAUGAGUAGUUCGUCUUCAAGUUACUAAUAUGGACCCUGGGAGCCAAACACUUUAGCAAUGUGCAGAUUCUCCGAUACUAGUGAUUUUCAGAGAAUAGAGUAUGUGUUUCCUGCGGUUCACUCACGUAGGUCAGUUUCUUGUUCGAAUUGCAUGCGUAGGUCAGUUUCUUGUUCGAAUUGCAUGCAGGCGAUUUCUCCCAUUUUCUCUUUCCUCUUUCUCUUUACUGGUGGCCCAUAUUCUCUUUCCUCUUUCUCUUUACUGGAAAUAAGGCCUUUCCCUAUCACGACCGCCUUCCUUUCUUCGGAAUUCAUUCUUUUCCAAAGAGCUAGAGGGUGAUGAGUUACCUAGAUAUACAUGACUUUUGAUUUCUCAUUCCAUUCCAAUUCUCUCUGACAGAGCAGGAUAGCUGCCAUCAAGCUGCCCCUUUAGAGCGAGGGCCUUCCGAGACCACAAGAAGAAGGAUCAAUCGCCUUUUUGCGAGGAUCUAACUCUAUCUUUCUGGCUUAGCCUAACUACUUUGCUCGGGUCAAUUCACUCCUUCUUUAUCGCAAGCAAAUAGCCAAAGAGCUGAUGAAAGGUCUUAUCUUAUUCCUUCAUCUGCGGAGCAGUUAUUACAAAAAGACUCGCAUCUCACACAGGAAAAGCAAGCAAAGACCUCCCCUUGGUUUCCUCCUUCCUUGAUAAGAGUGAAAGCCCAAUCUUAAUAAUACUCUCGGACGUGGGAUCUUGCCUAACCCAAUUGGGUUGAGCGGGGUCAGUCUGACUUUUCCACUGGCUUUCUAUUUCACUCACUAAAUAAUAGGUCAGUCCUUACUUGAUAUAACUAGGGCAUAUACUUAAGGAAGCGAGCAACUUAUAUAAGCAUGCACUAUCGGAUCUGCCCCUUCCUUUCUCUUUUAACCGAUCAACUUGAACUUGAGCGGGAACAGGUAAGGGUGUAAUACAACUCUCCUCACUCUGACUUUUCUAUCUCGUGUGCAAGAUAUAGUGUAUGACCUGCAACUGGGUACACAAGGACUGUAUUUCGAGCAGGCUUUCAUGGCGUACUGACUUACCUUGAAAAGACGGGCCACUUUAAAGGAGACUAGUUCACUCACUGGUUAUAUCCAAAUCUCUUUCUUAACGGGGCAGCCUUCUCCACUUGUGACUUUAACAGCGGGGCAGCCUUCUCCACUUGUGACUUUAACAGCUCUCCUUUCCUUUAAAAACGAACUAGCAGCUAAGUAGACUCAUUUAUAACGCAGGAACUGCCUGCAGGAAACUGGCUUAUCACAUUCGGCUCGGGCUUACUAUCGGGCUUUCACGUUAACUGUCACUUGCCCUAACACAACUACAGGCUUACAACUUUGACUGGUAAAAGCGGACUAUAGCACAAGAACUGGCAACAAUAACAUAACUCCUCUCUAUGAGUCCCCACCCCACUCUCACCUAUCUAAAUAAAGAGCGCACUUCCAAUUCCAGACUAAGAUGUAGCUGCCUUAAUUGGAAUUCUACUUGGAUUUCUUUACAGUAAAGUCAGACCAUAAAGGCUAGAAAACUUCCUUGAAAGGGCAGGUCCCCCUUUCUUGCUACUUUAUAUGGAAUCUCGGGGCCAAAUCCCGAUACGAGAAAACUAGGCCUACUUUAAAUGGCACUGAUACAGGCGCUUCUUCUGCUAUAUUUCUCCUUAUAUCAAAAGAAAGGUUCCACCUUUAUUCUAGCUUAGCGUCCUAGGUUGGGCGAGGCAUAAGCCUUUAAGCAGCAGCUCCUCAAAUCCCCUUUCCAACUAGGGGGAGGGGGGACUCUUGCUCCUGUCACGGAUACUUGCUUUAUCACAGGAUUCAAUCUGUCCGGACUUUAUUUGAUGAUCCGCCCUUUCCAUGGGGCACAAGCCUUAGGGACAUAGGAACUUGCUGGCUAUGGAAUUGAUCCUCACUUUCUUUAUUAACGGGAACUGACUUUACUUGCUAGGGAGUGAUAGGGCAGAGGAUCCAGCAUCCCCACCAGAAUUAGAAGGGCGCUCCAAUUCGAAGCGUGCGCUACUAAGGAAGGCCCCUUCCCAUAUCGGGGAUAGUCAACAAUAGUGUGAGUUUUGGAAUGAAUCGAUAUCAUAGUCAAUUUCAGGUACUAUAACAGAUAGAGCUUUUUCUGCGGCAUAUUGAGAGCCAUAUAGUCUCCCGCCAAUCAGAAACCCCUGACAUUAUAAGGUAGGCCCAGCCCCGGGUUUAUAACAGCGAAUCGAAUCAAAGCGUUCUCCAAUAAGGAAAUCAUUAGAUGUAGCCUCAAACAUAUAUGACCUCAGUCUCUGGUCUCGAUUGUGGGUGGGCAAAUGGAUGCUACUAUGCUACUCUUUCUUCAAUUGCUUCAGCUUGAGAACUAAGACUAAGACUGGCAUAAAUCAAAUAGAAGACAAGACGCUUGGCUGUAAACUGACUCAUUCUAUAUACACGUAACGUACACGUAAGGAUAGACGUAUCCUAAAGCUCGUUAAUCAUACCCAACUUAUGGCUGGAACAGAGAAAGAGCUACGAUUUCAAUGACAACUUGCCCGUUAAUCAUACCCAACUUAUGGCUGGAACAGAGAAAGAGCCACUUUGGAUUUCAAUGACACUUGCCCGGACACUGAUGCUGCGCAAGAAUAUAAAGAAGAAUAGUUUGGUUUGCCUUUGCCCGCUACUGGUUUGCUCUAUCAUCCUGGAAAAAUCUCCUGACUUUAUUANNNNNNNNNNNNNNNNNNNNUAAGGUAAGUCAGCUUCCUUUUGAAGGUUCGGGAAUAGCCUAAUUCAAAGCGUUUUUCUUUGUCGAGAUUCGGUUUGUAUUAAGUGAGUGACAGAGAGUCGGAUGAAAGUUCUCCCUAGUCAGUAGCCCUUUAUUCCACUGUUGUAGGAAGUGUCCAGUCUUUAUAAGUAGGAUCAAAUCAAGACGAUGAGAUAAAGUGAUGCUACCUUAGAUUGAGAUCCCUAGUAGAGUCAACUAACUAACUUUCUCUCUAUCAUCGAUGGAUUAAGGAGCAUUGCAUUCGACGUAAGAUGUAUGGUUUGAAGUUCAGGGAUGGAAUGGAUUUCCUCGCUAGGAAGACGGCAGAAUAUGUUAUUGAAGGCUAAUACAAGUGUCGGGCCAAGCAACGACUAGACAA